This 549-nucleotide long non-coding RNA is filed under the name Junco hyemalis (dark-eyed junco). RNAcentral describes it as "lncRNA (ENSJHYG00000016123.1)". Lineage: Eukaryota; Metazoa; Chordata; Aves; Passeriformes; Passerellidae. The record is from RNAcentral.
AUGAAUAAUGGACUCCCAGGAGAAACCAUGAAAAUCAGUCUCCUCCACGGUAGGAUAAUGCCAAAACCAGGCAGGCAUGCAAACUGUGCAUACACAAGGAGAGAUCAGCCAGGGGCCUUUCAUGCUUCUGAGACCUUGACUACACCAGCACUGAGGAGAAAUUGCCAGACACAGCUUGGAAGUAGAGCAAUAACCCAUAAUUUGAUGAGUCUGAAAGGUCCUGAGCAUUGGCUCCAACUCAGUCACUGGGGAAUUUCCACCAGGUUGCUUUCUGGACACUCCAGGGACCAGUUUGGCUGGAAUUUCUGUUGUGUUUUGCACAGCACAUGGUAAUUCUGCUCUGCCAAGGAUGAACUUUCGGUCCUACUGAGCCCGUGUCGGUUAUAGGCAGGGAUGGAUCCACACGCUGGACGAGGGAAAGUUGAAACUCUAUGUUCUGGAUUUUCUCCUGUGAGCAGAUUUGUGCAUGACAUCUUGUGAUUAAAGGCCAAAUGGACAAUAUGGAGAAUUGGGUAAGUUGGCUUUUAGCAGAUGCAAAUCUCUCCUUGC